Molecule: ribosomal RNA, 494 nt
Filed under: uncultured bacterium
Lineage: Bacteria
Description: partial 16S ribosomal RNA
Rfam family: Bacterial small subunit ribosomal RNA
Source: RNAcentral
AUUGAACGCUGGCGGCAGGCCUAACACAUGCAAGUCGAGCGGAAGGGGCUUCGGCCCUGAGAGCGGCGGACGGGUGAGGAGAGCGUGGGAAUCUGCCUGCAGAUGGGGGAUAGCCCGGAGAAAUCCGGAUUAAUACCGCAUAAUACCUGAGGGUUAAAGUGGAGGAUCGCAAGACUUCACGUCUACAGAUGAGCCCACGUCAGAUUAGCUAGUUGGUAGGGUAAAGGCCUACCAAGGCGACGAUCUGUAGCUGGCCUGAGAGGGUGGCCAGCCACACUGGAACUGAGACACGGUCCAGACUCCUACGGGAGGCAGCAGUGGGGAAUAUUGGACAAUGGGCGCAAGCCUGAUCCAGCCAUGCCGCGUGUGUGAAGAAGGCCUUCGGGUUGUAAAGCACUUUAAGUUGGGAGGAAGGUUCCUUGGCUAAUAUCCAAGGGAAUUGACGUUACCGACAGAAUAAGCACCGGCUAAUUCCGUGCUAGCAGCCGCAGUAA